CGCGUAGGCGGCUCGCCAAGUCGGGGGUGAAAUCUUUCGGCUUAACCGGAAAAGUGCCUUCGAUACUGGCGGGCUUGAGCGAGGUAGGGGCAUGUGGAACUUCCGGUGGAGCGGUGAAAUGCGUUGAUAUCGGAAGGAACGCCGGUGGCGAAAGCGACGUGCUGGACCUCUUCUGACGCUGAGGCGCGAAAGCUAGGGUAGCGAACG
This 207-nucleotide ribosomal RNA is filed under the name uncultured bacterium. RNAcentral's name for it is "partial 16S ribosomal RNA". It matches the Rfam family "Bacterial small subunit ribosomal RNA", at positions 568 to 774 of the family's 1533-position model. The record is from RNAcentral.